CGUUCCCGGGCCUUGUACACACCGCCCGUCACACCAUGGGAGUUUGUUGCACCAGAAGCAGGUAGCUUAACCUUCGGGAGGGCGCUUGCCACGGUGUGGCCGAUGACUGGGGUGAAGUCGUAACAAGGUAGCCGUAUCGGAAGGUGCGGCUGGAUCACCUCCUUUUGAGC
This 170-nucleotide ribosomal RNA is filed under the name Stenotrophomonas maltophilia. RNAcentral's name for it is "partial 16S ribosomal RNA". It matches the Rfam family "Bacterial small subunit ribosomal RNA", at positions 1369 to 1533 of the family's 1533-position model. The record is from RNAcentral. Lineage: Bacteria; Pseudomonadati; Pseudomonadota; Gammaproteobacteria; Lysobacterales; Lysobacteraceae.